GGCUUGUAUGAAGGAACAUACGUGAGUACGACUGUUUCACUUUUAUAUCUAAAAAUUAUCACUUAGGUGAAGAGACCUAAUUCCAAUAGAAAGACAAAAAGACCCUAUUGAGCUUUACUUUAAGCCUAUUCAAACGAGAUCUACUCAAUCUUCUUCUAUAUGCCUAGGUUCUGUUGGGGCGACAAAAGAAGACCUAAAUCUUCUUUAUUUAAUGAGGUAAUAAACCUAAUAAUGAUCCGGAACCCCCGAUUAAAAGAUUCAGCUACCAUAGGGAUAACAGGCUAAUUCUUUCCGAGAGCC
RNAcentral lists this ribosomal RNA (300 nucleotides) under Scolelepis sp. GF-19169_3050. RNAcentral's name for it is "partial large subunit ribosomal RNA". It matches the Rfam family "Bacterial large subunit ribosomal RNA", at positions 1985 to 2500 of the family's 2925-position model. The record is from RNAcentral. Lineage: Eukaryota; Metazoa; Annelida; Polychaeta; Spionida; Spionidae.